Molecule: transfer RNA, 68 nt
Filed under: Pilumnus vespertilio
Lineage: Eukaryota; Metazoa; Arthropoda; Malacostraca; Decapoda; Pilumnidae
Description: tRNA-Glu
Source: RNAcentral
AUUUUUAUAGUGUAAUUUAACAUAUUACAUUUUCGUUGUAAAGCUGAAAUAAUAUAUUUCUAAAAAUA